RNAcentral lists this ribosomal RNA (253 nucleotides) under uncultured organism. RNAcentral's name for it is "partial 16S ribosomal RNA". It matches the Rfam family "Bacterial small subunit ribosomal RNA", at positions 524 to 776 of the family's 1533-position model. The record is from RNAcentral.
UACAGAGGGUGCAAGCGUUAAUCGGAAUUACUGGGCGUAAAGCGUGCGUAGGUGGUUCGGUAAGUCAGAUGUGAAAGCCCUGGGCUUAACCUGGGAAUUGCGUUUGAUACUGUCGGACUAGAGUUUGGUAGAGGGAAGUGGAAUUCCACGUGUAGCGGUGAAAUGCGUAGAGAUCAGAAAGAAGGCCGGUGGCGAAGGCGGCUUCCUGGACUAAAACUGACACUGAGGCACGAAAGCGUGGGGAGCAAACAGG